This 2139-nucleotide unclassified non-coding RNA is filed under the name Drosophila mojavensis. RNAcentral's name for it is "GI16824". The record is from RNAcentral. Lineage: Eukaryota; Metazoa; Arthropoda; Insecta; Diptera; Drosophilidae.
AGCGAACGAGUGGGCGAGCGAGAGCGAGAGAGAGAGGGAUAGAUAGUGUGACAACAUUCUGGCCGAGAUUAACGUAGAGUAAAGCGCAGCUACAGUCAUGGGCAAAAAGAAAGUGCCCAGCGAGGAUCUAAUUGUGCCGCCACAGGACAAUCGCAUCUGUGGCACAAUUUGCAUAUGCCAAAUGACGCUCGUCCUCAGCUCCGUGGCGUUGGUCUAUCUGACCGUAGCCAUCUAUAUGCCGUCGACGCGUGCCUUCAAGAGCGGCAUCGAUCCGACGCCCGUCAUGUGCACCACCACGCGAGCCGUCAACAAGGAGGGCUGCGAGUGGGGCAGCUGCGGCGAGUGGUGUCUGAGCAAAACCUCCGGCGCCUGCAUUCAGAUCUAUGUGAACCUGCGCAGCAACGGCACGAACCUCACGUUCCAGAACUGCACGAACUCGGCGAACAAGACGUGCUACGGCAUCGAUCAGGAUCGCGCGGACAAGGCGCGCUGCAUCAACGACGAGUGCAAGAAUCUCACUGGCACCUUCAACUGCACCGCCGGGCAGUGCUUGAACAUAACGGACGCCUUUGAGUGUGUGUUCCACAACAGCGAUGCUCCGGUCAAGUGCUCCGGGCGACGUGGCAAGAUCAACUGCAUGGACAUCAGCGGCUUGUUCUCGUGCAGCCGCGGCACCUGCCGCAAGAUACGCACGCCCUACAACUGCGAUAGACGCUGCGUGGAUAUACCCACCCGGAAUAAGAACGUGGUGGUGCUCAGCGGGGACAAGGUUUACCUAUCGCAGUGCCAGAAUGCCAUCAAUGCGGAGACCUUGGAGGAGGUGUGGAAUGAGUCGAGCGACAACGUGGCCAUGACAUCGUGCUACUUCAUCAAGAACACCUCGGAUCGAGUGGAUGCCGUAGACUGCAUCAACGGAUCGACGCUGGAGCACAAUAUGCUUAGUGACUUGACCAAUUUUACAUAUCUCAGUCAUUUGCAUGUGUCGGUGGCGACGCCGGUGCCGGAGAUAGCUCCGCCCGACGUCGACUUAACCAUAUCGAAUGAAUCGAAGCUGAUGAUCAAUUUGGAGGGAUGUGUGAACACGCUGAUGGAUGAGUGCAAGGAGUUCCUGAAGGUGUUCGGCCGGGAUGGCAGCGAUCACAAUGCCCGCGCACGCUUCCCCUGCUUCUAUUCGCCAUCGAAGAAGGAUAUUGUUGUGGCCCGGUUCGAUCUGGAGGUCACCUAUCGCCAGUUCGUGUUCGCGUCGGUGGUGCCGUCGGUGCUGUUCGUGGUAUCCUGCUCGGUGCUGCUGCUAUGCCAGCGCACCGUCUAUGUCGGCGACGAUGCCAAGAUGCGCUUCAAGGGCUGCGUCGACACGGACACCAUUCUGUCCAAGAACAACGUCGGCGCACCGACCAACGGUGACAUGGGUGGAGGCGGUGGCGAUGAAGUCAUGGCCCUAUGAGAUCCGUCACGUAAGCUUAACAUAAAGAGCCUCUUCCAACUAGGGUAAACACACACACUUAGGCCCACUGUGCUACGUCGGAAAAUUGCAUUGCUUAAUUGACAAACGAUGGGCAUUCCUCUGCUCCAGGAAGACAGUCCGGUUCAUCAGACUGGCGUCUUCGCAUUGCAAUAAAUGGAGUUGGGCAUAGUAAACAAUCGAGUAACACUUUGUAAUCCUUCCAUCGAACUACUAACAGACCACACACCUGAGCGCAGCUUGCUAAAGGACACUCCUGAGCUAACAGCAAACACAAAAACGAAACGAAACUAUAUAAAAACUCUAUACAUAUAGAGUGAUAUCUAUAUACACCACAUGCGAGGCACGUGAACAAUUCUCGAGUUACGAACACAAAGAACCGAAGAAGAGAGGACAAUAUUAGUAUAAUUUCUAUAUUUGAAUUCGAUUUUCUAUUUAUUUUUGGGAUAGGCUAGAGAGGCGCGCCAUCUACUGAGAGUAAUUAGCGUUGGGCAUGGCCUGGUUGAUUGAUUGAUGCUUUAACUUUAAGUUAAGUAAAGAAGAAGAAAACUAACAAGAACAUCUAUAGGGAAUACCUUCAAUGCACUCACAUACACAAGCACCCAAACACACACACUCACACAGAUACUCACACACACUCACAGAGGGAACUAGAAUCAGCCCUUAGGAGCAGGCAA